Molecule: long non-coding RNA, 1550 nt
Organism: Aethalodelphis obliquidens (Pacific white-sided dolphin)
Lineage: Eukaryota; Metazoa; Chordata; Mammalia; Artiodactyla; Delphinidae
Exons: 3
Source: RefSeq, a predicted model, not a curated record
CUUAAACCCGCCGGGCUUUUUUGCGCCUGCGCCUUACCGCGAUUAUUCGAGCCUUAGCGGUUUGAGUUUCACGCGCAUGCGUCUUCCUUCAAACCGUUCGCUCGACUUACCCGCCAGAAGGGGGAGGGGUGUGGCGGCAGUUAGUUCCUUACGGGAACAGUACCAGGCUCUGGGUUGUGAGGAGGUGUCCCUAGCCUAUUAUCCGCAGUCCUAGCAGACCUGAAAGUACAAGUGCUCCCCUCCCUCGCGCCGCCUAUACUCCUUUUCUCCCUAGAGCCAUCCCGUGACAAACUGGGGGCUGCGGGACUGCAUACUUCCUGCACCCGAAGCCACCCCCGCGGCGCCGGGAGCAUGUCCAAGUCUUUCGUGCCGCCACUAACCCCCUACCUGCCGCCGUUGGGCCUGGGGCCCGGACCCCAGUCCCGUACCCCGCUUUUGCCCUAACGAACUCCCACCCUGCGACCCCAGCUGCCUCGCCCCGGGGUCGGCCGGCUGGGCGCUCGCACGAGAGGGGGGCGCCGGAUGCGCGUCUCGUCGCGCCUCGUGAGCGUAGGGUGGAGGCCUUCAGUUCGGCAAGAUUCCAGGGUCACCCCAUGUGCGCAUAUGGCCCGAGACUAGUGAUGUUCGUGAUUUCCGGCAGCACUGCGGAAACUGGGACCAUUCCCGUAGCCUUCCAGUCCUCCCCUUGUCUGAUGCCGGCUGUCCUCCCCACCUCGGCCUGGUGGACACAUGCAAUAAACACAGGGGUACCACGGCGAAGGCCUCUCUGAGUGCCACCAUGGGAAGAUGCAAGUAAAGCACGUUUUCGUCCCUACAAUGGUCUGGAAGUCGUAUCCGGUUUUAACAGGUUUGAGAAAACUGGAGAGGACAUCAAUGGAACAGGGAGAAGAUGAUCCAAGAUAAGGUCCCACAGCACCACGGCAUCAGCUGCCUCCAGAUCAUGCUGAGGACCAGGGGACCCCACUUUGAAGCUGGAGACUGGAAGCAUAGCGACGGUGGCUCAGUGGUUAGAACCUGGGUACAGAGUCCCAAGCCCAUCCCAACCCGGUGCAACAUGGCUCGGCCCUUUCAGCUGCAUAAUUAUGGUUGUCUUGAAUAAGAACUCCUCCGACGCCUGGUGAGGGCUCCGAAACCAUUUAAACUGCUCAGUGUGAAUUCUGAUACGUACUUUUCCUAAGUGAGAUAGAAAAACAAAGGCGUCCCCACAGCCAGCCCAGCAUCGCCGCUGAGGGGAGGGGCUGGCGCUGGCGCUCCUGAGUGAGGUCAGCUGCUGCGGUGACCUGGAAAGGGGAUCCUAACCUCUUCGGUUCUCUCAGCGCAUCUCCUUUAGGCAGAAUGUGACAACCAUUGGUUUUGAACCUUCAGGGUAUUGGCCCUGAUUUUCCAAAGCUUCAGCUGGGACACUCACUGUGGUUGAAUCCUUCGGCCAUGUGUUCAAAAUGUAUUGAUGACUAGUGUCAUUACUUACCUUUUAAAAUGUUUUAUUUAUUUAAUUUUGGAUCUGUUGGGUCUUCGUUGCUGCGCGUGAGCUUUCUCUAGUUGCGUCGAGC